GGAAGCGGAAAGGGCACUGGUGGCCCUCCCGGACUUCAAAUCCGGUGCAUCGGGUGAAGAGCUCGAUGGGUGGGUUCGAUUCCCAUGCGCUUCC
Molecule: transfer RNA, 94 nt
Filed under: marine sediment metagenome
Description: Selenocysteine transfer RNA
Rfam family: Selenocysteine transfer RNA
Source: RNAcentral